UAAGUACAGGUUGGUCCAAACAUUCGAGCAGAUUGAGGCAUCCUGAGCUGAUUUUUUAAGGUCCCAUGCGCCCAAGGCCUCUCACUGCUCUUACAUCGGCCAGCAAAUUUCAAAUGGAGCAUCCCAAUGGAGCAUCCCUUUUUCAAAGGUGGUGAGGAGGCCCUCUUAUGUUUACUUUGGCUUGGCAACAUAAUCAGGAAAACAAGCAAAUUGCAACUAAGGUAUUCAGACGGGUCGUGGACGGUGAAGCUCAGGAGCCAUGGACAUUUUUUUCGCUGCUUGACACCCAAUUGCUAGAGAAGCUCGUUUGCAUCUAGGAGAUGUUUGUGUGUUUGAGCUCAUUGAUAGGGGGGAUGUGUGUUUAGAGUCUACAUUUCCACUAGUGCUCCUCAAGACCUAUCAACUCCAUUAUCCAGCUGGUCGGCCGCAUUUGUGAAAGAAGCUUGUCUGGAUGAAGGGGAUGUCUGCAUGUUUGAGCUCAUUGAUAGGGACGAUUUUAUGGUCAAUCUCCAUCUCCAAUUAUGCUAGUCAGAACAGAUAGUCUAAAUGUCCAGUGAGCCCUCUUGAGCAGCCUUUUCAUGGUUUCAAUUGUCUGAGGCCUCUCACUGCCCUUUAGAAAGCUGGAGAAUUCAAGUUAGAGUAUCCCUUUUUCCAGAUGGUGACAUGGCCAUCUUUUCUUAAGAAAGAAAUAAUGGCUUGGGAAGAAGAGGCGACACGAAAUGUCCAGCUUAAGCAAUAGCUAUUGCAACAGGCCUAAGCUUGGCAUGACUGGGCUCACUGCAACAACACGGCAACACUAAUCGGAUAUUGCUCCUGGCAACAAAUGGUUUACAAGAGCUACUAUUGCAAGCAGGUUCAAACUUGCGAUCAGAAAUGAAGCGAAGGCAAAUGAAGAUCACUUUUUGUGUCUAUGUAUCCAUCUAGGAUGCUAGGCGUAGCUUUUCAAUGUUUGUUCAAUGCAUAUCGCGAUGCGAGAUUGGUGACUUGGAAAUCCACCAGAUUCGUGCAUGUCUCUAUAUUGAUUACACGUACUUAGUGUAGAGUCGAAGAGCACAGGAUUGUGAUAUUUUGAUUUCAAAUUGCAAGUUGUGACUAAAGACCAUCUCAUCAAGCCUUUUAGACUGCUAACACGGAUCUCUGGAAACUUCAAAUACUAUCAUAAAUAUACAUCUUGUUUGCCUUUUCA
Molecule: long non-coding RNA, 1186 nt
Organism: Eucalyptus grandis
Lineage: Eukaryota; Viridiplantae; Streptophyta; Magnoliopsida; Myrtales; Myrtaceae
Exons: 6
Source: RefSeq, a predicted model, not a curated record